RNAcentral lists this ribosomal RNA (1332 nucleotides) under uncultured bacterium. RNAcentral describes it as "bacterial SSU rRNA". It matches the Rfam family "Bacterial small subunit ribosomal RNA", at positions 35 to 1361 of the family's 1533-position model. The record is from RNAcentral.
GCUGGCGGCAGGCUUAACACAUGCAAGUCGAGCGGAGAGAGGUAGCUUGCUACUGAUCUUAGCGGCGGACGGGUGAGUAAUGCUUAGGAAUCUGCCUAUUAGUGGGGGACAACAUCUCGAAAGGGAUGCUAAUACCGCAUACGUCCUACGGGAGAAAGCAGGGGGUCUUCGGACCUUGCGCUAAUAGAUGAGCCUAAGUCGGAUUAGCUAGUUGGUGGGGUAAAGGCCUACCAAGGCGACGAUCUGUAGCGGGUCUGAGAGGAUGAUCCGCCACACUGGGACUGAGACACGGCCCAGACUCCUACGGGAGGCAGCAGUGGGGAAUAUUGGACAAUGGGGGGAACCCUGAUCCAGCCAUGCCGCGUGUGUGAAGAAGGCCUUAUGGUUGUAAAGCACUUUAAGCGAGGAGGAGGCUACUUUAGUUAAUACCUAGAGAUAGUGGACGUUACUCGCAGAAUAAGCACCGGCUAACUCUGUGCCAGCAGCCGCGGUAAUACAGAGGGUGCAAGCGUUAAUCGGAUUUACUGGGCGUAAAGCGCGCGUAGGCGGCUAAUUAAGUCAAAUGUGAAAUCCCCGAGCUUAACUUGGGAAUUGCAUUCGAUACUGGUUAGCUAGAGUGUGGGAGAGGAUGGUAGAAUUCCAGGUGUAGCGGUGAAAUGCGUAGAGAUCUGGAGGAAUACCGAUGGCGAAGGCAGCCAUCUGGCCUAACACUGACGCUGAGGUGCGAAAGCAUGGGGAGCAAACAGGAUUAGAUACCCUGGUAGUCCAUGCCGUAAACGAUGUCUACUAGCCGUUGGGGCCUUUGGGGCUUUAGUGGCGCAGCUAACGCGAUAAGUAGACCGCCUGGGGAGUACGGUCGCAAGACUAAAACUCAAAUGAAUUGACGGGGGCCCGCACAAGCGGUGGAGCAUGUGGUUUAAUUCGAUGCAACGCGAAGAACCUUACCUGGCCUUGACAUAGUAAGAACUUUCCAGAGAUGGAUUGGUGCCUUCGGGAACUUACAUACAGGUGCUGCAUGGCUGUCGUCAGCUCGUGUCGUGAGAUGUUGGGUUAAGUCCCGCAACGAGCGCAACCCUUUUCCUUAUUUGCCAGCGAGUAAUGUCGGGAACUUUAAGGAUACUGCCAGUGACAAACUGGAGGAAGGCGGGGACGACGUCAAGUCAUCAUGGCCCUUACGGCCAGGGCUACACACGUGCUACAAUGGUCGGUACAAAGGGUUGCUACACAGCGAUGUGAUGCUAAUCUCAAAAAGCCGAUCGUAGUCCGGAUUGGAGUCUGCAACUCGACUCCAUGAAGUCGGAAUCGCUAGUAAUCGCGGAUCAGAAUGCCGCG